RNAcentral lists this ribosomal RNA (247 nucleotides) under uncultured bacterium. RNAcentral describes it as "partial 16S ribosomal RNA". It matches the Rfam family "Bacterial small subunit ribosomal RNA", at positions 523 to 769 of the family's 1533-position model. The record is from RNAcentral.
AUACGGAGGAUCCGAGCGUUAUCCGGAUUUAUUGGGUUUAAAGGGUGCGUAGGUGGUUUGAUAAGUCAGCGGUGAAAGUUUGCAGCUUAACUGUAAAAUUGCAGUUGAUACUGUUAUUCUUGAGUGUACAUAAGGUAGGCGGAAUUCGUGGUGUAGCGGUGAAAUGCUUAGAUAUCACGAAGAACUCCAAUUGCGAAGGCAGCUUACCGGGGUACAACUGACGCUGAGGCACGAAAGUGUGGGUAUC